UCUGAUUUAUGUCACCCUGCAGCCCAAGAUCGUUUACUCACUGAAGCUAAGCAGGGCUGAGCCUGGUCAGUACCUGGAUGGGAGACCACAUGGGAACACUAGGUUGCUGUUGGAA
RNAcentral lists this ribosomal RNA (115 nucleotides) under Danio rerio (zebrafish). The record is from RNAcentral. Lineage: Eukaryota; Metazoa; Chordata; Actinopteri; Cypriniformes; Danionidae.